Molecule: signal recognition particle RNA, 279 nt
Filed under: Otolemur garnettii (small-eared galago)
Lineage: Eukaryota; Metazoa; Chordata; Mammalia; Primates; Galagidae
Description: Metazoan signal recognition particle RNA
Rfam family: Metazoan signal recognition particle RNA
About the family: The signal recognition particle (SRP) is a universally conserved ribonucleoprotein. It is involved in the co-translational targeting of proteins to membranes.
Source: Rfam by way of RNAcentral
GCUGGGCAUGCUCAUGUGUACUGAUAGUCCCAGCUACUUAGGAGGCUGAGGCAGGAGGAUCGCUUAAGCCCAGGAGUUCUGGGUUGUAGUAUUCUGUGCCAGCUGGGUGUCCACACUAAAUUUGACAUCAGUGUGGUGACCUCCCAGGAGCAGGGGACCACCAGGUGACCUGGCCCAGGUUAGAAAUGCAGCAGGUCAAAAUUUCCACGCUGAUCAGUGGUGGUACUGCACCUGUGAAUAGCCAUUCUAUCCUGGCAACACAAGGAUACCCCGUCUCUG